Molecule: long non-coding RNA, 2686 nt
Organism: Fukomys damarensis (Damara mole-rat)
Lineage: Eukaryota; Metazoa; Chordata; Mammalia; Rodentia; Bathyergidae
Source: Ensembl
UGGACCCCGCGCCGCGUUCUCGCGAGACUGCCGGGCCGCACCACCCACUGGGCGGGCCCGCCGCCACUCAGCUGAUGAGGACUUCCGGCCCCGCCCCGGAAACAGGACGGGGCGUCUGACAAGGUUCCUGGGUUGGUUAACGCCGUGUGUCACCCGCUGAGUUUUCAGAAAGAGAAAGGAGCCCAGCGCCCCGAGGCUCACUUCUAACUGGCUGCGACCGGGGCGGGCUCCUGAGGCUGGCUUGGCCUUCCCUCCUUGGGGCCUGGGACAAGGUUUCUGAACCGCGUUAUUGGUCACCCCGGUGGCCCUGUCCUGCCGGUCUGGCCUGUACCCUGUAGGAUGUUCAGCAGUUCCCUGGUCUCUGCUGUCCCCCUAGAUACCUGCCUCAGCCUCACCAGCCCUGGUUGUGACAACCAAGAGUGUCCCCAGAAGUCCGCUAAAGGACCCUUGGAGGCCUCACGUCCUGUUGAGAACAAGUGACCAGGCUGCACCCUGUCUCGGCCUUGGCAGAGAUGCCAGACCUCCCGUGGUCAGUGGGCUGGCAUCUGGAGGCCCAGCUGUCCUCCCACAAGCCUUUGUGACCCACCAGGCAAAGGUGAUUUCACCCUAUCCCAGCAACCCUUCCUCCAUACUGCCUCCUGUAGUAUCGGUUUAUUCUUUUGCCUCUGAUUUGUACAUGUUCUCUACAGGUCCCGGAUUCGCAGUGACAGAGUUCUUAGGUGUCUUCUUCCUCACCGUGCCCCUGCAUUUAGGACAGUGCUUGACAUCUCCUGGAGUGGCAGUGUCUUCCAACAGCAGCCCCAGCAAGGCUUUAGUAAUUGAGAUCCACAGCUCCAGGGAUUCAAAUGGUAAGACAUCUGCAGCAGUCAGGUGUUCACCUACAGGAGGCGUGGGGGAGAAGGAAAAGAAAUAGUGAAAGAAGAUGACCUGCUUCCUCCUAGUGCAACUGGUGCAAGAUGGUAACAAAUGUGCAACCACAUCUGUUCUACCACUUUUAUAAUUCCUUUUAAGGAAUCUUUUUUUCUAAAAACAAAAUAAUUUUUUUCACAGUUCUGGUGACCAAACCCAGGAUCUUUGCACUGAGCUUCAUCCCCAGCCCUUUUUUAUUUUUUGUUUUGAGACCAGGUCUUGCUAAGUGCAUCCCUCACACUUGGGAUCCUCUAAUCCUUCUGCCUCAGCCUCCCCAAGAGAUGAGAUUACAGGCAUUCACCGCCAUGCCCAUCUCUUUAUAAGUAAUGCUAACCUAUGUUGUGAUCAUAAAAUAGACAAUCAGUAACUAUAAAUGUGUUCCUUUUUUAGGUUAAAACUUACAGGAAAGAUCAAUAGAGACAAGUACAACGGAGAACUGAAGCACAGAUAUAAAAUACCUCAACCCAUGCCAAUAAAGGGGUUUCCAGUCCAUGAGGGAAAGGAUGAAUUGUUCAUAAAUUCUGUUGGAAAAAGCAACGACAUGGGGAAACAGGCUUCAUAUUUUUUACUGACAAAAUUUACAGAUGGAUAAAUAUUGACGAAACCAGCAAUACAAAAACAUUAGGGGAAAAUUGGCAAAUACGAAAUCUUUGAGAGGGGAUCUUUUUAAAGGCUAAAACAAGUUAGAAGCUAUUUAUUGAAAAAGUUGAUUUGUCUACGUAAAGACUUAAGACAACGUGUAUACAAUGUUUUGGUUCAAAAACAACAUGUAUAAAAAAUAAUCUCAAUUAACUGAAAAAAAACCCCACGUACCUUCAAUACAUAGAACAAAGUUAAUGUCUUUAUUGUAUGAAGCAUUCUUCAGAACUUCAUGGAACUGCAUGCAGCUGAUCCAUGAGAGUGGCACAGAAGCAGCCAGGGCCUUCAGAGCAGAGCUUAAUCCAUGGUGCCUUGGGUUGAGUUGCAGCUGGCUGGCUACACUCAAGGGCCAGAAGUGGGUAUGUGACCUAAGCCUGUCCAAUCAUCAGCGGCUCAUCUGUCAAGCUUCACUGAUUGGUUCAGAGAUGGACAUGUGACCCAAGUUGGUGAGCACAAUAAGCCGUACUCUCUUGGAUGGCUGGGUCUGUGACCUAAGCUGUGUAACCAGCAGCAUCCCAUCUACAGAGCUGCAGGGCCUGCUGCAGGGACGGAAUAUCCAAGUUAGCUAGAGCUAAAGCCAGGAUUGAUUCUGGAAUGUUCAGAAGGGAGAGAUUCAUCUUCUACUGAGAUUAAUGGAAGUUUUGUUAUUGCUGCUGCUGCUGCUGCUACUGCUGAGGUUUUUAUUUUGAGCUUAGUGUUAUAAAGACAAGCCUGGAGUUGUCGGGUCAUUUUGUGAAACAAACCUCCCUACAGUGACUGGAAACACACCUCUCUUCUCUUCGGAGAGCUAUGGCAAAGGUCUACAAAACAAAACAAAAAGAUAGCUUACCAGUCUGGAUUCUAGACAGCCUUAAGUCAUUCUCUCCAGGGUGCUUCAUCAUGAGUUCCUAAAUUCUCUUUUUGAGUGAGCAGAUCUGAUAAUGACUUGUAAUUGAAAAAGUCUUGGCCAAUUCAAGGAGUACUGUACAUGCAUGUGCAUACACAAACAGAAAAGAAAAUGGUAUAUGUGCUUUUAUGAAACAAAGUACACCAGUAAUUUUAUUUGUUUGUUUGUUUGUUUAUUUAUUUAUUUGGAUAAAGGGACUUGCUAUGUAGCCCAGGCUAGCCUCAAACUCAUAGCAAUCCUCCUGACUCAGCC